Molecule: long non-coding RNA, 3621 nt
Organism: Parus major (Great Tit)
Lineage: Eukaryota; Metazoa; Chordata; Aves; Passeriformes; Paridae
Exons: 3
Source: RefSeq, a predicted model, not a curated record
GGUCUCUUAGCCUGUAAGGCUUGUGCAUGAUGUCUCUGAGAGCAAUUUCCAGCAGAGUGAAGCCUUAUCACAGAUUCACCUAAAAGGUGAAGUGGGUGAAUAUCAGACAGCUCAUUAUAGAGACAUGCAAGCUGCAUUCCCAAAGUAGGAUGACAGAACAAGUCAUGGUGGAUAAGAGUCAUGGAUGUUAAAGGAGACAUUAAUCAGGCUGUUGUGAAAGAUCUGAUACCAGCUUUGGUCAAAGGGGUCGAGUGUCAUCCUGAGAGUGCUCCUCUUUGGGACAGGAAACCGACGGAGCGAAGCCCUGAGAACAUGCCGCGACACUUCAUAUUCAAUCCGCAGCCCUAUAAAGAGAUGAAAAAUGAGCCUUGUCCAAAGCUCUUACCUCAGCACCCAGUGGCAAAAAUAAAAUGUGAGCUUGGGACCAGGUCUCUUUGAAGCUGAUUUUUUCUAUUUUUUUUCUAAACUCUCUAACAGGCCUCUGGUGGUUACAGGUAUUGAUCGUCAGAAAGUAAUCUGUUCAGGUUUGGGGGCAUGCCAGACCGAAUCCUGGAGUACGUUCCUUCCUCUCCAAGGACAUGUUGAGCUUUUUAUACUGUCCACACUGGCAUGCUUGUCAGCUGUCUGGCUUCUUUGUCUUUACUGCUUUCCCUGUUUGUGGAAAGCAUAUUAUUAAACCUCCCUUAUACAAAUAUUGUACAUUACUCCUCUAGAAUUUUCUGCCAGUGCUGAAGGUUUUUUACCCCAAUUUUUAACCCUCAUUUUUCUUCUAUAAUCAUUAUUUGAUUCCCUCUGGCUGCCUGCUACUUAUUUGUAGUAGUACCAUUCAUCCAUUGAGACUUUUCCAUCUGUCACACAGUUUUGCUUUCUCUCCCCAGAAGCUUUCUUCUCCUACUGUGCCAUGCUUGAUUUUUUGGGUUUAGUUGCAUGUUUGUUUGCUCUUUUUAGUAUUUUAAAAAAAUGCUUCAGUAUUUAGAACAAAUACAAGAAGAAGAGAAAACUCCCAACAUAGCAAAGAGAAGCUCAAAUCCAGCACUGCACAUAGAAACAGGAUGAGGAGAGAGAUUCCUGGUGAAUUAAGGAAUCAACACGUAUAGCCAGGGCAGAACUAGUGGCCAGACCUUGCUCUCUAUGAAUUGUUUUCAUUGCCUUCCAAAUCCUUCCAGUUUUGUGCUAGAUAAAUAGGUGAUGUCAGGAAAUGUUGCAUUCCCUCUGCUGUACUGACUCCCUUUGGUGUAUUGAUUACAAAGAUGAUCUGAGGAAAACCAAACAUACUGAGGUACAAUACUGUGAUUAUGUAAAGCAAAUAAUGUUUUAAAGUGUCAGGCAGUCCCUUACCUAAACAAGAUUGUGGUCAUAUCCUACAUUUAAAAUUAAAUGAGCAAUUUUUGUUUGCAGAGGGUAGAUAUUAAAGAAAUGCAGCACUUGUUAGUGUUUCCCAGGUGAAAUGCAGCAAGGUCUAAUGCCAGCAGCAUAACCCCUCAGAAUCAGUGUUUUUUUCUCUGUGUAUCUUCAACCCCUAUUAAAGCAAAUUUUAGUUUUUGAUGUGAGCAAGAAUAGGAAAUUUCACAGCAGCUCUACAGAUCACUUGCGAUUGAAUCAAAUCUCAAAUCUUCAGUCUUGGAGAACUCACAAAAUUACCUGCUUCUGAUAAUACAUUUUGAAUAUAUCUUUAUUAUUUUCUCUUCUAUUCCUCAUAUGCAUUUCAUUGUAUCCACUUAUGUUCUUGUUUCAAAAGUUCCUGCAAGUUUAUCUAUAUUAUUAGGAUUAGUAAAAAGUAUGUGUUGUAUUUUCAAAAAAUCUUUUUUUUCAGUAGAAAUGCUUUCAUUGCUUAUAAAAUUGCUUCUCUGGCUGUAUAAAAAGUGCUGGUAGUCUUCAAGCAAACACAAAAGCUGUGUGUGUGUCCUUGUUUGAAUGACAAUCUCCAGAAAGUUUCCUUUGCUACCAGCUACUUCACUGCACUCUUCUGUGAAUGAAGUGGGUGGAAAAAUAUUGGACCCUUACAUAUAUACUUGUAUGGGAAAAUGACUCAAAAUAUAGGUAUUUUACAAAAAUCCUAUUUAUUAAGUGAUGUCAUGUGAAAGUAAGGGUCAUUCAGACCCAGCUUUUAUUUUACCUGAACCCUAAGGUGCUUUGUGAAGGAAAAUAAAUGGUUGCUUUUCUGGAAUAAAUUAUGAAAAUAAAAUUUAAGAAAAUGAGAAGGCAAAAGGGGAAGGAAUGUGAGACAAUGCAGUCCCUCCUGAGCACUGAAAACUUUUCUGAGUUUCUUCUCAAGAAUAAAUGAUUAAAAAAUAAUAAGGGUGAAAGUGUUUUUUUGCAUUUUUGUGUGUAAUCACAAAUUUGAUGGUCCCACUGUACAAUCAAUGUCAACCUAUAUCAUUCAAAUCUACCCUGCCUGCUCUGUAAGACCUUCAAUGGGUGAAAUGUCACUGUUGCACAGGGAAGCUAGUCCAGUGCUUUAUUAAAAUUAUUUUUUGUUUCAGAAUCUUAGGUCUAUUCCUUUUUAUUUUUUUCUUUUUUUUUUUAACCCAGAACAGAUUAAGCAAAUAAAUAAUUAUCUUCUACACUCUAGUCAUUGUUCAAAUGCCUCCUUCCAUUUUCUUUGGUCUAAGGUUAAACAGGUGCAGUUCCAUUGGGCUUUCCUCACAGGCCUGAUGAUUUAACUCCAGCUAACCCACUUCUUUCCAACUUAAGAGCUCAAAGGUACAUGCAGACCUUCAGGUGACACUUCCUGGUCUGCAGAGAUAGAUCAUUUCAUAUGCCUUGCAGUUGUUUGUAGGUUUUUUUCAUGAAGCCUCAUCACAGUCUUUGACUCUUUUUUGAGGUUAUUCUUAAUUUUCUAUUAAUAUGUAUGUGUAUACUGCAAGAUGAUGUAAAAUUGGGUGGCAAUAUGAAGAAAGAAGUAGGGCAGGGACUUUGCAGCCAUGAAACCCAAAACCAACCCAGUUAGUGGAUGUGGUAAACCAAACAAAUGGCCUGCAUGGUCUUCUGAGUUAGUUUUUGGUUGUUUUGUGAGGAGCAGUGAGUUGGAUUCUAUGAUCCUUCCAAGUCAAGAUAUUCCAUUCUGUUCUGUUGACACAUGAGGGAAUGCUAACACCAGUGGGAAUCUUUACAUGUGUAGGAACACAUUCUCAUGGCCUCACAGAGUCAGGAGCUUGAUGAGACAGGAUUGCUAUUGGCCCUGUUCUGAAUGUUUUAUUCCCAUAUGUGUAAACUUAAGGAAAUGGAGAGGAAAAAGAAGUAGAGAGAGAUUGUGGCUUAGCCUUGGGAAUCUGUAGCACAGGGUGAAGGAAUUUCACUAUGCACUGGGCUUCUAUAGUCUUGGCAAAAAUGAAAAAAAAAAAGUUAAUACUGCACCCAAAUAGCUCAACAAUUUUUAUUUUUAUUUUUUAAUGCAAAAUUUAACAAUACUAAAUCUACACUAAUGUUGAAAAAGUAACUCGAGUAAUAAAAGUAGUCUUCAGGGAGAAGUCUGGACACAAGAAGGUCUAUAUAUAUCUUCAAGUGUGUAAUCAAGUAGGCUGUUUUUCAUGUGAGGCAGUUAUUUCUAUGUUACUUUUGUUCAGUGGGAUUGUGUAAAAUCCUUUAUGUACAGCACUAAUCUGAAAAUCUAGAUCUGUC